GUCUCUUCUAUCAAUUCAAAUAUAACUGUCGAUAUAGAUCGUAUUUUUUACUUGAUAUGCAUUCCGAUAUAUGAUGGAACAUGGCAUCAUGCUCCAGUAUAAAUGUGCUUUGUCGAUUGGUGUAAUAUGCAUACAGUAUAGGUGCUUUUUAAUCAUGCAGAUAUCUAGCACACACACGAUCACCGUUGGCGUGAUCGGUCCAAUCGUGUCUGAGUUAAGUAUUCCAGAGGUGCAGUUAGACAAACAAGGAUUCUGAAGAGGCGGACAAGCACUGUCUUACAUUGAGCAUGUUGAUGGAGAACAUGCAGACUCAAAGGUAUAUCAGAGGUGUAGUCAGACAAACAAGGAUUCUGAGGAGGCGGACAAGCACUGUCUUACAUUGAGCGUGCUGAUGAUGAAGGUAAUAAACAUAACGACAGUACCCAGUGUUCGUUUUAAUAAAUGAAUAAUAUUAGUUAGACUAGUGCUAAAAUUUGCUUUUACGCCUCCCCACUUGUUUCUCUUGGCUUGA
Molecule: long non-coding RNA, 511 nt
Organism: Anneissia japonica
Lineage: Eukaryota; Metazoa; Echinodermata; Crinoidea; Comatulida; Comatulidae
Exons: 3
Source: RefSeq, a predicted model, not a curated record